This 11558-nucleotide long non-coding RNA is filed under the name Populus trichocarpa (black cottonwood). RNAcentral describes it as "long non-coding RNA (PTRI_LNC004149)". Lineage: Eukaryota; Viridiplantae; Streptophyta; Magnoliopsida; Malpighiales; Salicaceae. The record is from RNAcentral.
UUAGGCUCUCCAAGCAAACCUUGGCGUCUCCAGUAAUAGUCUUCGGCAUCAAAUGCUCUGCUACUUCAGCAGGGGUCAUUUUGGUUUCCCCCAACAACUCCUGGAUUCUGGCAAACAAGUGGUGUGAUUCAAGCCGAAGGUAGUUCUUCGCCAAAACCUGGAAUGCUUCAAAGCUACAAUAGGACAAUUCUAUGUGCUUGUCCAUCCUUCCUUUCCUAAUGAGAGCUGGAUCAAGUUUCUCCACAAAAUUAGUCGUGAAAACAAUCAGUCUUUCUCCUCUGCAAGCUGACCAAAGUCCAUCAACAAAAUUCAAAAUCCCAGAAAGAGUGACCUGACUCUGUUUGCUAUCUUCUUCCUUGGGCAGCUUCGGCUUUGGAUCCUUCUCAUCUCUCUCCCCCUCUUCCUCCUUCUUCUUCUUCCUUUGACCAGUUAGGUCAAGAGAACAAUCAAUAUCCUCAAUCACAAUAAUGGACCUGGUUGUUGUCUCCAUCAGUAGCUUUCUCAACUCAGUGUUAUCCUUCACAGCAGUCAAUUCAAGAUCAUAUAUAUCGUAGUUUAAGAGAUUGGCCAUGGCUGCAAUCAUAGUUGAUUUACCAGUCCCUGGUGGACCGAAAAGCAGAUACCCUCGCUUCCAAGCCCUUCCAAUUCUUGCAUAGAAGUCUUCAGCCGUGCUGAAUAUGACAAGAUCAUCAACGAUUUCCUGCUUCCUCUCUGCCUCCAUUGCAAGCGUCUCGAAACUAGCCGGAUGCUGAAACACCACAUGCCUCCAGUAUGAUCCACUGUUAGUGUAAAGCUUCCUCUGACGAUUCCUUACCUUGAUUUCAUUACCCUCUUUCAAGACAUGAUUCAAGUAAUCCCCGAGGAUGAGUUGCCGGUGUCUCUUAUGGAAAGUGAGCUUGUAGUACUUCUUCUCAUCCGUUACGGGAUAGAAAGAAACAGAUUGCGUCUUGGAAAUAUGUUUCCCUGAAGCCCACCUAAGUUUGACUCCCUGGAAUUCAUCACCAACCUCUUCAUAAUCAUCCAUGCUAAGAACAACCGACUGGCUGUUCUUGACAACAUCAGCCUUGAGCCGCUUUGCCUGCGUAGAUGAACGAGAACCAAGAUAAUUCUCAAUGGCAGAGUAAGCUUCACUACGCAUGAAGCGAUCGCCGGUGAAUUCAUUGAAGCUAAUUUGAAUGUAAGGGUAAACGAAAGUGAAGGCCCUUUUGGAGUAUUUAUCAAAAUAUUCUUGUACACUAUACGGACAAUAUUGCUUGAACAUGGCCCAAGCAAACAUAACACUUGCAAUCACAGAACCUACUUGAGUAAACAUAUCUGCUGGGUUCAUUUCUUUUGUCUAUUCGAUUCUCCUCCUCUUCUUUCCUCUCCACUUGUGUGUUUUGUGCAAGAAUUUUAUAGCCCGGCAAGCGGAGAUAGCUAAUCUUAUUGGCUAAGUCAGCAGUGUCACAAGUGACGCAUGCAUGCUUGUCUUGCAAGAUGGCGUGUAUAAUGGCUUUCCUGGCAAACAAAUGUCAACUUGGUAUUUUCCUAGAUAGUUCCUACAAGGAAGCUGACGCCAGAGGACUUCUGGGACCAUGGUUUUGUCGUUUCCGAUACAGUUUGGACGGUGGUGUACAUUACUGCUCAACCAUAGAUAUUUGACAGAUAUUGCAGGCUGUUUAUUUUUUUUAAAAAAAAAAUGUGUUUUUAAAAAAUAAUAAAUUUUUUUAUUUUUCUAUUUUAAAUUAAUAUUUUUUUAAUAUUUUUAAAUUAUAAUGGGUUGAUAUUUUUAAAUUAAAAAAAAAACAUUACUUUAAAAGGCCAUGUCUUUCAUGAAUUUCAUGUUUUAAGUUUAAGUGAAAUCUUUUUAAUUUAAAAAAUUUAAUUAACUAUCAAGUUAUUUUAAAAAAAAAUAUUAUUUUAAUAAAAAUAAUUAAUUUAGGUUAAUUUGGAUCCUCUUUUUUAUAUUUGUCUCUCUUUUAUUACAAUUAUAACCUUAACAUUUGUUUAAUCCUACUCUGGUCAAGAUGGAAAUAAGUUUCCUCCGUGACUUUUAAUAAAUUUUAAUUUACUUUCUAGUUGUUGUAUGUAUUAAGUUUAGAGUAAUUCUUAUUGUUUAUUGUUUGAUAUUAAAAAAAUAUUUUAAGCAAAAAAUAAUAAAAUUAUAUUUUUUACAAGAAGCACGAUAUUAUAAUUUCUAGAUUAAGAGAAAACAAUAUAAUUUUAACCCAAGUUUCAAAUUACAGUGGAAAUAUGUACUAACUACAAUCAAAUUCAAAAUAUAUAUAAAAAAUGAAAUUAUCAUUGUUCUUUUUGUUAAAUAAUAUAUUUAUUUAUUAAGAGUAAAAUAAUAUUUUCAACUUAAUCUAUAUAUAAAUUCUUUGUAUUUAGAUUAAAGUAUAAAGAAGAAUACAAAUCAAUUGAGGAGAAUUCUAGUCUCCUUUUAUUUCAUGUUCGUAUUUAUUUUUGUGUUAAUUGGAUUAUUUUAACAUUUUUAAUAAUCAUCACAGUAAUCAUAGAAAAUAAUUUAUUUUAAGAAAUCUAAAUUCAUUUAAUUGUGAAGCAAAUAUAAAAUGACUUAGAUGUGUAUUUUUUCCUUUGAUAGGUUUAUAUUAUUUUUUUCCUAGCACGUUCCUAGGGCAGGUGGAAAUUUCUCAGCAGGAGUUGAAUAUUUAUUUAAUUUGGGGCAGCUGGGAAUUUAUUAGUAGCAACGAGGCAACCAGCUGCUAGAUUCUAUGAACAAUAGAUACGUUGUCUUCUCCUGCGCUACUAAGCAGCCUCUGGACCCUUGGAUUGGUUAUUUUAUUUAUUAAAAAACACAACUAGGGCAUUUUUUAUUUUAUUAUAAAGAAUAUUUUUGGUUCAACUUAUACAUUAAUUAAAAUUAAAUUUUCUCGUGCAUUCAAAUAAAUUUAAUAUGAUUGAAUAUACAUUUUUAACCAUUAAAUUAACUUUUUAAAAUUAAUAUAACCAACAUUACAUUAUUAUUUUUCUUAAGUGCUUAAAAAAAGGCUAGGCACAUAAGUCUAGUAGCCAAGAACCACGCACCUCGGCUUUGAUUACUUUUGUUUCUAUUUUUAUGGGACGAAUGACAUGUCUUUUACCUUGUUUUCUUUGAAAAAAGUAGAGGAGGUGACGUGUCGCCUACAACACCCAAAUUCCAAUAACAAAGAUUGCUGAAAAGCUGGCCAUGGAUGUUUCACACCUAAAAAAUUGAUUUUUCAACCAAUUUUUUACCUAAAAAAAUGCCUAGAGGCCAAAAAUAAACUUGUUUAUGCCUUCACACCAAAGUUGUUAAAAUCGCGAGUUAACUCAUAAAAUCUUACGAUUUUACAAGUCAACAUGUAUCUAACGUGCUAAAUCAGACUAAAAACUCGAAACCAGUAAAAUCAAACUUAACUCGUGCAAAAUUGAUAAAAUUGGUAAACUUGGUCUGAUUUUAUGAAUUUACUAAAUUUGUGAUAUGAACCAAGUUAUAUCCAAAUUUGACCUUAAAAUGUCUACUGACUAGUUUUGUGAGAUUGAGCAUAUCUUUCAAACCGUAUAUUGGAUAAAUUUGAAAUUUUACAGGAAAAUAUUAGAUACAUGAAAAUAUAUUAUGGUAAAUUUUCAAGUCAAAUGGAGUUAGGAAACAUAAUAUUUCAAAUGGUCAAAUUUAAUAAACUAAUAUUGUCAAAUAUAUCAAACAAUACCUUCGUGUACUGUUUGCGACAUAUCUAGAGCUAUCAAUGGAUUUUUUCUUCGAUUAAAGUUGGGAUAGAAACUAGACAUCUGAAACUUUCCAACUAUAUAUCGUAGGCCCAAUAAUUCAUCCAAACGAGAGAGAAUAACAUGCUUGAAAUCAGGAGAAAACGACAUGUUUGUAAUCAGGAGAGAACGACAUGUUUGUAAUCAGGACUCAAAUCUGCCAAGACCAAAAAUAUACAAAAAUUAGAGAUUCAGACUACAUAGAGGAAUUUUAACAUGAAGACUUUUUUUAUUAUUCUAUUUUAUUUAUUUAUUUAAUUUUAAAUAAUUAUUUUUAAUUUGAAUUUUUCUAGCUAGCGCAUUAGACAUUGUUUAGGGGUUUAUUUCAUUAUUGAAUUUAUGUUAGUUAAUUACUAAUUUAAACUCAUUAGCUUGCAACCCAAAAAUGAUCUAUCAAGACUUAUUAUGAUGGGAACAACCAGGUUGUCACUAGGUUUAUGUGUAUUUCCUACCUUUCAGUGAUUUCUCUGUAUUAAGAAAUUUUGUUCUGAGACUUUAUUUCUCCAUGUCAUUAAUUUAUUGAUUCAUACUAUCUAUCUCUCUUAUUUUAUUUAGAUCACUCGUUGAUUAUAAUAUUGUUGACUCAUUUUAUCAGAUUUUAAUGUAAUUUAAUUUCUUGAUUAGAAUUAUCAAUAUAUAAUUAGUUAAAAAAAAUUACUUACGAUUUUAUGAUUUUACGAUCCGAGUUUAUAUUGUAUUUUUUGUGUCGUCUCAACAAAAUAUUUUUGACAACCUUGCUUCACACAACUCAAAAUAUGAUAAAAAAAUUAAAAAUUAAUUCAAAACCCAAAACUUCUUGAGGUCAUAUCUAUCCUCUCAAACAAUUUAAAGGAGAAAAUGAAGCUCUUUUCAUUGAAUAGAACUCAUAGAUACCCAAAAAAAUUAUUUUAGUGGUCAAAAUCGUGUCAAUUGGUGUUUUUUCUAUCUACUACCGGAAUCAAGUGGCUUUUUCUCUUUCACCUCAAAUAAAAACUAAAAAAUAAGAGAAAUAAAUUUUUGGAUCAAAAGUGAAUUUUGAAAAAAACUCAAGGGAUGGAAAAUGGGUGCGUUUCAAAGUAAGAAGACUGGCAUAUAUUUUUUUAGUCAAUUUUGAAAUGACCAUAUAGUUCUUUUGUUGUUUUCAUUUUGAUCCUAUUUUUUUCAAUGUUGUUCUUGGUUAACAAAUAAGAAGGAAUCUGGCCUUCAGUUUGAACAAAUAAGGAUACAAUUAUAAAAAAAAAAAAAAAAGUAUAAUGACCAAAUUAAACAAAAAAAAAAGAAAAAUCCAUCGCUCUAAUUCAAAGUAAAAUACAAGAGGAUCUACAAUCUUUGGUGCAUAGUAAAAGCACCACACCUUUUCUCUUUUUUUUUUUUUUAAUGUUUGGUGUUAGUCGUGAACAUAAGAUUUGUUAAGUGAAGAAAUUAGAUUGGUGAUAUUCAUUAAUUUGCUAUAUUAAUUGAUUAGACAGUUUUUUUUAUCAAUGUAAUCAUACUUUGAUUUGAUAUGAUAGUAUUUUAUUUUUGAAAAAUGCAAUCUUAAUUUUCUCUGAAAUUUUUUCAUAUUAUUUACUUCUUCUUUUUUCAAACAUAAUCAAUGAAUUGCCUCAUUCAACAAGGCAUCAUCUAGAAAUUAAUAUAUCAUUUGUGAUAUUAAUUAAUUGUAGUGAUAAUUAGAAAAAUAUAAUGAAUAAUUUAUCAUAAAUAUGUCUCUCUUGUUCAUAAAUUAUUUUCUAUAUAUAAUAUAAACGUAAAUAUUUUCAUAUCAAAACGUAUCACAUAAUGAUAGUGGUAAUUUUUCCAGUAUAUUAUAUUAAACACAGUAUAUAUUGGGAGAAACAUAGAUUAAAAAAAAUGUUUUUGUUGAAUAUAUAAGUUAUGGUAGACAUGUAAAAUAUAUCAACAUUAAAAAAAAUGAAAACAAGAGAUCAAUUAUUCAAAAAACAAAUGCCAUUAAUUUUAUAAAUUUUGAAUUUCAAUUUACUUUCUGAUUGUUGUAUAUUAAGUUUAGAGUUAUUAUUAUUAUUAUUAUUAUUUAGUAUUUAAAAAAUCUAAAAUUGUAAUAAAAAGCACUGAGAAGGACCAGUUUUGUCACCCCCUCCGCAAUGAUUUUACUUCAAUAAUUUCUUAAUUAAUUAUUUAUGUCUCUUUUUUUCAAGGAUGUUAAUUUCAAUACUAUAUAUAUAUAUAUAUAUAUAUAUAUAUAUAUAUAUAUAUAUAUAUAUAUAUAUAUAUUAAACAAAAGAUAGUAAAAUUAUUUUUAUUAUUACAAGAAGCAUGGUAUUAUCAACUUUUUUCCAUGAAAGAGGAACUAGCUAGGAAAAUUUUCAAUUGCUUGGCCUUGAUUUCUUGGUCGUCUUAACCUUGAUUUCUCAAACUUUUUUCUAUUUCCUAGCUAUGGUGGAAAUUUCUCAGAACCAGCAGCUGCUAGAUUCUAUGAACGAUGGAUAUGGUGUCUUCUUCUUUGCUACUUCCUCUUUCAUCACGUUCACAAUUUUAUAUAUAUGCAGUCUCUGGACCAUUAGGGUUACAUAUUUUAUUUAUUAAACCAAAAAACAAAAAGCACGACUAGAGUUUAAUUUCAUGAUAAAGAAUAUUUUUAAAUUACUUUACGUAUUAAUUAAAAUUAAGCAUUUCUUAAAUGAUUUUAAAGGUGUAUUUUUUUUUAAUAAUAUGGUAUAUUCAAAUGAAUUUAAUUAUCCAUUUACUUUAAUUACCCGGGCUAUAAUUUCAUCUGGACGGAAAAAAAAAAAGAAAUCACAAAUUAGAUUGAUAAUAUUCAUCAAUAUGCUUAUUAAUUUUUUAAUAGGUAAAUGCAAUAGGAUUAAUAUUAUAGUUCAUGUAAUUUAUCAAAAAAAAUUAAUUAAUUUUCAUAAUAUUUAAAAAAUUAAAUAAUUUCUUAUCAAUGUUAAAUAUUCUUGAUUUGAUAGCAUUUUAUUAAAGAAAAAUAUAAUCUAUUCCCAACCAUCUUUCCUCUUCAACUCUUGAAACAAGAAAAGAAGUUAUAAAAUAAUAAAAAGAAAGAUCAAGCAUAUUGCUUGAACAUGGCCCAAGCAAACAUAACACUUGCAAUCACAUGCAGAGCCUACUUGAGUAAACAUAUCUGCUGGGUUCAUUUCUUUUGUCUAUUCGAUGCUCCCCCUCCUCCCCCUCCCCCUCCUCCUCCUCCUCCUCCUCCCUCCUCUCCACUUGUGUGUUUUGUGCAAGAACUUUAUAGCCCGGCAAGCGGAGUGACGCAUGCAUGCUUUGUCUUGCAAUAUGGCGUGUACAAUGGCUUUCCUGGCAGACGUGUAUAGUCAACUUCGUAUUUUCCCAGAUAGGUCCUACAAGGAAGCUGAUGCCAGAGGACUUCUGGGACCGUGGUCUUGUCGAUUCAGUUUGUAAUUGUAUUUUAGAAUUCUUUUUAAAAAAAUUAAAUUUUUUUUAUUUUUUUAUUUUAAAUUAAUAUAUUUUUAAUAUUUUCAGAUUAUUAUCUUUAUAUUAUUUUUUUCCCUCCCAGCAAGUUACUGGGCAGAUGGAAAUUUAUCAGCAGCAGUUGAAUAUUUAUUUAAUUUGGGGCAGUGGGAAUUUCUCAGUAGUAACGACUAACGAGGCAACCAGCUGCUAGAUCUAUGAAGAAUAGAUACGUAUACGUUUUCUUCUGCGCUACGAAGCAGCCUCUGGACCAUUGGAUUAGUUAUUUUAUUUAUUAAAAAACACAGCUAGGGCAUUUUUUAUUUUAUUAUAAAGAAUAUUUUUGGUUCAAUUUAUACAUUAAUUAAAAUUAAAUUUUCUCGUGCAUUCAAAUAAAUUUAAUAUGAUUGAAUAUACAUUUUUAACCUUUAAAUUAACUUUUUAAAAUUAAUAUAACCAACAUUACAUUAUUAUUAUUUUUAUAUCAAAAUCUGUUAAUAAUUCAUCUAUUAGUGGCUAACUAGAUGGGUGGCCAACAGUAUACUACAGGUUAGAUCAGAUUAAUUUAAAAAAAUAAAAAUUAUUAUAAAAAUUUAAAAUUGUAAUAAAAAGCAUCAAAAGGACGAGUUUUGUAACCCCCUCAAAAUAAGCAAUCAUUUUACUUCAAUAAUUUCUUAAUUAAUUAUUUAUGGUUUUUUUUUCAAGGAUGUUAAUUUCAAUAAUAUAAUGUAAACAUUCAUUUUUCAUAUAUAUAUUAAACAAAAGAUAGUAAAAUUAUUUUUAUUACAAGAAGCAUGGUAUUAUCAUUCCUAGAUUAUGGAAAAACCUUCUAGUUUUAUCACAAGUUCCAAAAUUACAGUGGAGAUAUGUACAAAUUAUUAUGAAUAAUCAUUUUCGGUUCGAUUCGAUUUUUAUUAAAAAAAUAACUAAAUUGUUUUUUUUUUUAAAAAAAUCAAAACCGGUUCAAACCGACCGAUUUCGGUUCGGUUAUUUUAGAACAAAAAUCGGUUUUUUUUGUUUGACUCGGUUUUUUUCCGGUUUGGAUCGGUUUUUCCGGUUAAGCUCAAUUUUUUUCGGUUUCAGGCUUAUAAUUAAAACUGAAACCUUACCAAACCGGUCGAUUUUUUAAAAAUUUUAAUCGAUUUAAUCGAUUUUUUUUUCCGGUUUGAAUUUUAAUAUAUUUUUAAAUAAAAAUAAUUUUAAAAAACACUCUUCGAUAAGACAAAAUUUCUCAACUUUUUCCAUGAAAGAGGAACUAGCUAGGAAAAUUUUCAAUUGCUUAGCCUUGAUUUCUUCGUCGUCUUAACCUUGAUUUCUCUACUUUUUUUCCAGGAAAGAGGCAACCAGCAGCUGCUAGCUUCCAUGAACGAUGGAUAUGGUGUCUCCUUCUUUGCUACUUCCUCUUUCAUCACGUUCACAAUUUUAUAUAUGCAGUCUCUGGACCAUUAAGGCUACAUAUUUUAUUUAUUAAACCAAAAUACAAAAAGCUAGCACGACCAGAGUUUAAUUUCAUGAUAAAGAAUAUUUUUUAAUCAGUUUACGUGUUAAUUAAGUGUUUAUUUCUUAAAUGAUUUUAAAAGUGUAUUUUUUUUAAUAAUAUGGUAUAUUGACAAUAAGAUUUAAACUUAAAAAAAUCAAAAAAUUGAGUAUAUAUUCUUAACAUAGACUAACCUUUCAUAAAAUUAGCAUAACUAAAAUCACAUUAUUAUUUUUCUUAUAUCAUAAACUCUUAAUAGAUCAGCAAGGCCAAUGUUGGUGUUGGUCAUGAACAUAAUAGUACUUGUGAAGAAAUUAAUUUUAAAUCUUAAAUAAUUUUCCUUGCAAAUAAAAGACUUUAAUUCAAAAUCUUAAAUUAUAAUUUGAUGAGAUUUAUAAAUAUUUUUUAUAUUAAUUAGUCUUUAACUUACUACAUGUUAAUUAUCCAUCUACUUUAAUUACCCGGGCUAUAAUUUCAUCGGGACGGAAUUGUAAAGCCACACUUGUUCUGUGGUGAGAGAGUUAUAUAUAUAGACAAUGUGCAGGUAUGGUUAUGGUAGGAAACAACAAUUUAAACAACUGUUCAAAUCCAUCUGGCUAUAUUAUCUCCUACAAUUAUGGAGAGUGACGUGGUGUACUCCAUUCCUUAUCAGUGCAUGCAGCUCUCAAUUGAACUUUUUUGCAGGGAGGAUGGACAAGGAAUACAAUCUGUCAUUCACUUUGCACAUUAUCGAUGGAUUUGAUCUCGUCAGUGUAUUCUAGAGGUGAAAGGAAUUGUUCACACAUCACUGAUAGAAAUACUGACAGGUUUGAGUCCAUCGAUGUAUUCUAGAGGCAAAAUGAAUUGUUCGCACAUCACCAAUGGAAACACUUACGGUUUUAAGUCUGUUAGCGUAUUCUAGAAGCGAAGGGAAUUGUUCACGUACCGAGAGAAUCACUAACAGACUAAUUAAUAAUAAUAUUAAUUACUAGUCCGUUGGUGCAUUUGCAUAAAGCAAAGCGCGGAUAAUUAAUGCAUCUCUGAUAGUGUGUACUAUUUUAACGUAACUAGGAAAUUAUCGACGGAGUAUUAAAAUUCUGGAGGGUUUUUUGAAAAUUUUAGUGUGAAAUUUAAAAUUUCAAGGCAAUGUUACAAAGGAAUGUUUGAUUGUGUUUAACUCCCAUCCUUUCAUCUCUCAUGCCCUAAACAAUGGUUUCUCCUAGGUUUUCUAAUUAAAACUCAAGUAAAGAUGAAGAACUCUCCCCCUCUAAUUUUUCCAGCAGGCCCGUCGGUUAUAAAGAGAGUAAAAACUGAUUUUUUCCAUUUUUUCCACCUAUUUAUGAAAUUACCAUUAGCAAGUCUACAUGGUUUUUUUUGUCUACAGUCUUUUAAAAUUCUGAUUGUUAUGAAAUUCUAAUCCAAGAUAGAGAAACAUGUCAUGAGAUUACUCGUGAAAUAUUAAGUCGAUUUAAUAAUUAGAUUGAGAGUUAUGCCCGAUAAUAUAAAACUGGAUUAUUUAUGAUUUUUCAUAAAAAAUCUGAUUUUUUUAAUUAUAUCCUUGCAUAAAUUGUACCAAUUAUUUUACUAAAUUCUUGGGACCAUUUUCUUAUCACAAGUAUAUUUAUUUUUCUUUUUUACUAAUUAUCUUAUUUACAGACUUGUUAGUAGUUCGCGAUAACUUUAUCGAUUUUUAUUCAGGUUUACAUCAAUAUUUUUACAUGCAAUUCUUUCUUAACUUUAAUUCUUCAUGUCCAUUGUAAUUCCUCAAAAUUAUUUCUCAUUCUCAAAAAAACAUUUAUUUUAAUUUUUUCUAAUCUUUCUAUCCAUCAAAACUUGUUGCUAAUUUCGUUGAUGUCAUAAUUUUUUUUUAAAACUAAUAGUUAUAAUCUUUGUUUCAACAAUAUCUUUAAAUUUAUUUAAGGAGGGUCCAUUACAUACCACAUUUGUAUUAAUUUUCCUUAUUUAUCUAUCAUUUUUAGUCCCGAGUUUCUAUUACUUAUCGAGUUCUUGUUACCCAUAUACAGGGGAGUUUACAGAGAUGCUUCUCUAGGGGUACUUCAAUCGGUGAACUGAUGAUUUGAGAUCAGCCUUGGAGAUAUAACUGGCACGGAGUAUUUUGGAGAUGCCCUUGUAAGUGAUUCUGAUUUUCUGGACUAGCAGAAGUUGAAGAUUUUAACAAGGGGAAAGUGACUAAUGAAGAAAUAACCAUAAAAGAUAGCAUUAAGGUAAACUACUACAUCUUUAAUCAAGCUUGAAGUGGUUUAAUCAUGCUAGACGACUGUUGAUUUGGAUAUCACCAUUGUUGGGAUAAUCUUUACAGUCAUUAAAAUUAUAGAAAUCUGAUUAUUCGGUCUCAAGAGACCAAGCUUCUUCAAUAGAAAUGUGAUUAUUCGGUCUCAAGAGACCAAGCUUCUUCAAUCCCAAAUACUGCAGAGCUGACCAUUAGUGGCUGAAGCACAGAAACCAUUUUCUUUUACUUGCUUCUUUGCAUUCUCUGCAGCUGAUGAAUCCUUUUCUUUUGCUUCUUCUUCAGCUUUUGCUUUGACGAAUCCUUCUCUUUUGCUUCUUCUUCAGCUUUUGCUUUCUCUUUUGCUUCUUCUUCAGCUUUUGUUUUCUCUUUCUCUUUUGCCUCUUCUUCAGCUUUCAAUCUAGCACUCUCUUCCUUUUCUUUUGCUUCUUCUUCUGCUUUCAGUAUAGCGUCCUCUUUCGCCUUCUCGAGUGCUCCUAUUAGGCUCUCCAAGCAAACCUUGGCGUCUCCAGUAAUAGUCUUCGGCAUCAAAUGCUCUGCUACUUCAGCAGGGGUCAUUUUGGUUUCCCCCAACAACUCCUGGAUUCUGGCAAACAAGUGGUGUGAAUCAAGCCGAAGGUAGUUCUUCGCCAAAACCUGGAAUGCUUCAAAGCUACAAUAGGACAAUUCUAUGUGCUUGUCCAUCCUUCCUUUCCUAAUGAGAGCUGGAUCAAGUUUCUCCACAAAAUUAGUCGUGAAAACAAUCAGUCUUUCUCCUCU